ACUUUUAAAGGAUAGUAGUCAUCCAUUGGUCUUAGGAACCAAAAAAU
Molecule: transfer RNA, 47 nt
Filed under: Lepilemur mustelinus (weasel lemur)
Lineage: Eukaryota; Metazoa; Chordata; Mammalia; Primates; Lepilemuridae
Description: tRNA-Leu
Source: RNAcentral